Molecule: long non-coding RNA, 547 nt
Organism: Panthera uncia (snow leopard)
Lineage: Eukaryota; Metazoa; Chordata; Mammalia; Carnivora; Felidae
Exons: 3
Source: RefSeq, a predicted model, not a curated record
UCUGACUUUCUGCACUAAACUUUGGUGGUUCUGCCCAGUCAGAGAGCUGAAAGGGAUUUGAAGAUGACUUAGUCAUAUGACUUCAUGAGGACCCUGGGGCUAGAGAGACUGUGACAUAGCUCUCAGUCACACACAGCUGGUUGGUGGCAGAAUUGGAGCCAGAGCUGGCCGUCUUCUGACCAUGGAGCGUUAAUGCCUCAUGAGGUUGAAUGAGGCCAGAAAUAAGGAAAUGGGAAUGUAGGACCCAGAAAUGAUGUGGGAAAAUCGUCCAUACUUUAUUAGCAGUAUUAGCAGCAAAGGAGAUGCAAUCAGAUUUGCAUUUUAUUUUAUUUUAGUUUUUAGAUUUGCAUUUUGGAAACAUCUCUCUAGCAUGGCAUAAAGAAUGGAUUGAAAGGAGCAAACAGAUCUUACAAGAGCCCUAAUGAAGUUGCUAUCACCUGCCUAUUGCAAAUUAAAAAAAAGAAAACUGAGGGAAGGUCUUCUUCAGGUGACUGCUCAUCAUGCACAGGCGGGUGAUAUUGAGGACCAUGACAACGGUGAAGGCCAC